GUACGGCAUGAGCUCGGGUAGU
RNAcentral lists this microRNA (22 nucleotides) under Shrimp white spot syndrome virus. RNAcentral describes it as "wssv-mir5_3p". The record is from RNAcentral. Lineage: Naldaviricetes; Nimaviridae.